GGCUCUCGCCCGCUUCUCCCCUGGAGGCCUGCUCCCGGGGGGCCCCCGGCCUGCAGACCCUUCUGUAUGGGGGUGCGCCCAGGGCUGCCAUCCGCCCCCCUCCGAUCUGCACAGCUACACCCUUGAAGGGAGCUUCAAAGCGUGUCUGCCGAUAGAUCAAGCCUUCUCUCAGCCAUGACAGCCCCCCAUCGCUCGCCUCCCCAAAUAAACCCGCGUAAUGAAGACAGAUGGCCCCGGUCAGCCGCCGGCCCCAGGCAAGGCCUGCAGAUGGUGCUGUGGGCGGCCGGAGGCCACACACCCCACCCCGGAGCGGUGCUCUGAGGUGUCACCGGGAUGGAGACUGGCCUCGGCCUGCACUCCCCCCAUCGCCCUGGGGGCAACACCUCUCCACGAUGAGCCUGGUUUUACCUUUGCACACUGCCUUUGAAAAUAGCCACCUUGACGCCCGUGGGCCUGGCCCUCCGUAACGACACAGACCUCUGACUGUGCUCCAGAUACCAGCCCAGGAGGAAGGGCCGGGUGCCCAGAGACAGUGAGGGGCUUGCCCCGCGCCACCCAGGACGCCCGUGCUGGCUGGCCCUCCCUCCACCUACGUGCUCGCUAACCGCCAACGUGCAAGUGCCGGGUCAGACUCAAGGCCGCGGUCAUCCGUGUCUUCACGGGACACCUCCAGGCCCUCCCUCCUGCAGCACGCGGACAGUAGGCUCGCACUUCCACCCCCUCGCGCCGGGAUGGGUCCCAGGACUACUUCCGCCACUAUAUUGUGAGCAAAAGUGCCAUGUGUCACUCGUCUCAAUGGAACAUCUCGUUACAGGUAUGACGCCCCAGGCUCCCACCUCCCUCGGGCACGGGGGCUGGCGUCCGGGUGGUGGCUGCUCUGUCCGCCUGGGGCGCCCCGGGGCCGCAGCGGGGGGCCCUGUCCUGCCUUGGCGCAUGGAGAAGGGGAGGGGGCCGUCGGCCCGCUUUGCAGUGAGUCACUGUGACCCGCUGUGACUGAGGGUCACUUGUCACAAAGAGUAGGGGGUUCGUGGGUGCGCAGUCAGAAAACCAAGGAGGGACACAGGGCACGUCACAUCAGCUUGGAAAAUUGGGGGUUGCUGUCUCAACGCGCGGUCUUUUCUCAUCACCUGGGCGGCGGGCCCAGCCCUUCCUGGGGAGGUCGGGGCAGGGAGAGGAGUGCCAGCAGGCGGCCGUGUGACCCCGUCAGGACAGAGUGGUGCCUCGGCCGGGGAGCGAUGGUGGUGAACACGCUCAAACGCUGCGGUCCGUUCAGGAGCAAGGCGGGUGUCUCCUCGCAAAAGACGGGGCCCUCUGAGCACCAGGGAAUCAGGAGGCCGAUCGUGUGACUUCCCAGGAAGCUUAGCUCCAAGGGAAUCUGGCUCUUGGGCAAUGUCACCGUUCCUGGCCUCACAUCUUAAUAAGAACCAACUUUCUGGAGGUAUUAACCCAAGAACAAACAUCGACCACGUUCACGAAAACCCCAGCGUGUGCCAAGUGCUGUCCGUCAAAACUCACUGACCCCCGAGGGAAGAGCCGGCUGCCUCCAUGACCUCGUGUCCCCGAGGGGGCUCUGCCUUUUCACCAGCGGCGUGCCCGCAGGCCAGGGGCUGGCGCCCAUCUGCCCGGGUUUCCUCGUCUGUAAGGUGGACGUGGUCACGGGGCCGCCAUCGCUCAGGGGCCGUCCUGAAAACGACACGGGGGGGGGGGGGAAUGCACACAAAACUCGGGCUCAGGAGUCCCCACCGGGCAGGAGGUGGGUCGAGCUGUGUCUCAGAGGGACCCCUAGACACGGGAGUCGCUUCUCUAGGCCACAGAGGCCAACUCUGCUCCCCUAAAGGCACGGUGGGCCAGGGUCUCCUUGCCAGGGCGUUGUCCUCAUCCCCCGGCCCAGAGCAGCCCCCCAGCCACCAUGCACCCCCCCGCCCCCCCGGAAGGGCUGCAGGCUCCGGGCCCACCCAGAGCCACAUCCUCGGACCCGCUGGCCCGCGCUCCGUCACACGGCCACACCCGGCUGCAAGCAGGCGGGGCAAACAGCAUUUAUUUGGGGUGGCCCCUGCCCUUGCUUAGGAUUGGGGUGUGACGACACGGAGGAAGGGCAGGCAGGUGUGGGGACGUACGAGCCGUCCCAGCCACGCCCCGCCAGGCAAGCACCGUUCUCUUCAUUUCACAGAUGGCACCACUGAGCCGCCUCCGAGGCCUUGGGCGGACGGGGACAUUGUCUUCUCCCACCAGCGCACGGGGUCUCACCCGACAGGC
Long non-coding RNA from Herpailurus yagouaroundi (jaguarundi), 2256 nucleotides. RefSeq lists it as uncharacterized. The record is from RefSeq and is a predicted model, not a curated record. The transcript is spliced from 4 exons. NCBI's taxonomy places the organism in Eukaryota, Metazoa, Chordata, Mammalia, Carnivora, Felidae.